This 535-nucleotide ribosomal RNA is filed under the name Fusarium oxysporum. RNAcentral's name for it is "eukaryotic LSU rRNA". The stretch from base 169 to 322 matches the Rfam family "5.8S ribosomal RNA". Lineage: Eukaryota; Fungi; Ascomycota; Sordariomycetes; Hypocreales; Nectriaceae. The record is from RNAcentral.
UACCUGCGGAGGGAUCAUUACCGAGUUUACAACUCCCAAACCCCUGUGAACAUACCACUUGUUGCCUCGGCGGAUCAGCCCGCUCCCGGUAAAACGGGACGGCCCGCCAGAGGACCCCUAAACUCUGUUUCUAUAUGUAACUUCUGAGUAAAACCAUAAAUAAAUCAAAACUUUCAACAACGGAUCUCUUGGUUCUGGCAUCGAUGAAGAACGCAGCAAAAUGCGAUAAGUAAUGUGAAUUGCAGAAUUCAGUGAAUCAUCGAAUCUUUGAACGCACAUUGCGCCCGCCAGUAUUCUGGCGGGCAUGCCUGUUCGAGCGUCAUUUCAACCCUCAAGCACAGCUUGGUGUUGGGACUCGCGUUAAUUCGCGUUCCUCAAAUUGAUUGGCGGUCACGUCGAGCUUCCAUAGCGUAGUAGUAAAACCCUCGUUACUGGUAAUCGUCGCGGCCACGCCGUUAAACCCCAACUUCUGAAUGUUGACCUCGGAUCAGGUAGGAAUACCCGCUGAACUUAAGCAUAUCAAUAAGCGGAGGAA